GAAUCACGGCACGGGGGGAGUCACGGCACAGGGGGAGUCACGGCCCGGGGGGGUCACGGCACGGGGGGAGUCACGGCACGGGGGGGUCACGGCACGGGGGAGUCACGGCACGGGGGGAGUCACGGCACGGGGGGAAUCACGGCACGGGGGGAGUCACGGCACAGGGGGAGUCACGGCCCGGGGGGGUCACGGCCCGGGGGGAGUCACGGCACGGGGGGAGUCACGGCACGGGGGGAGUCACGGCACGGGGGGAGUCACGGCACGGGGGGGUCACGGCACGGGGGAGUCACGGCACGGGGGGAGUCACGGCACGGGGGGGGUCACGGCACGGGGGGAGUCACGGCACAGGGGGAGUCACGGCCCGGGGGGGUCACGGCCCGGGGGGGUCACGGCCCGGGGGGAGUCACGGCACAGGGGGAGUCACGGUUCUUGAAUUGUUGUUUUUAUAUAUCAUUAUGGAGAAAUGAAAUUUCAUGCUGUUAAAUAUUCAUAUCUAUCAACUUAUAGCCCAGGCAGGUGUGCAAUGGUGCAAUCU
This 535-nucleotide long non-coding RNA is filed under the name Homo sapiens (human). Its description in RNAcentral is "non-protein coding lnc-SNTG2-8:3". The record is from RNAcentral. Lineage: Eukaryota; Metazoa; Chordata; Mammalia; Primates; Hominidae.